Long non-coding RNA from Prosopis cineraria, 480 nucleotides. RefSeq lists it as uncharacterized. The record is from RefSeq and is a predicted model, not a curated record. The transcript has 3 exons. NCBI's taxonomy places the organism in Eukaryota, Viridiplantae, Streptophyta, Magnoliopsida, Fabales, Fabaceae.
GGAUCUUGAGAUAUACCUGUUAGUGUUUUCACUUUCAGUAUUGCUCUCUGAAACAAUGAAGAAAGCUAUUCUAAUUGCUUUUCUCAUCAUUUUUGCUUAAUUUCUCUUCCUUCCUCCUUCCACUCAUGCUCGUGGAUUAUAUGAAGUUUCAAAGACAGUCACCUCGCCAACAAAUGAUAAGAACAAUCCUGCAGUUAAAUGUCCUCCUGGUUCUUCUUAUCAAUCUUGCCUUGCAAAUCCUCCAAAAGUUACAAAAGAGCGUUGCCCUAUCUAUACCCGUGGUUGUAAUAAGUAGCAGCAAAAAGAAAUACAUGACUAAUGGUUUCAUGGGGAAGUCAAGGUGUAUGUUGCUCAUGAAUUCUAUGAACUGUGAGAUCAGGUUGUUAAAUUUACAUGCCUGUGUUAAUUGUACUUGAGAUGAAGAAGAUUGUAUCUGCUGGCUUAUAAUUUAUUAUGAGUCAGUUUAAUUAAUAAAUAAAG